GUUUCAGUGGAGCGACUCUCUCUGAUAAUGAUGAUGUGUCUCUCCUCUCAGUCGACGGCCUGCAGUGUUACGGCUGUAACGUCUUCCACGGGCAGAAGUAUGUGGACGUGGGCUGCACUAAUCCAGAGGUCAUCACGUGCACGCACUCGCACAAGGGCUUCAAGCAUCGCUUCUGCAUCAAGACCGAGAGCACGGCACUGGGCAUCGUCCUCACCAGUGGCUGCGCCACCUCACGCCACUGCCAGCAGCAGGAACUGCCUGGAGUCUCCAUCCACUGCUGCCACUCGGACCUGUGCAACAGCGCCACCCACCGGCCAGCACAUUCACUGCAGCGUGCACUGCUGCUGCUCGUGCUCGCACGGAUAUGCUUAUGAUUCACUGCAUGAUGACCUCUGAGAAAGAGAAAGUGGACAGAAUGUUGGGCAGCCAGAUACACCAGACAACUUCCUCUGUAGAGCAGCACUGAUGUGAUGCAGAGCCAUCAAAGCUCAGUGGCAUCACUCUUCAUGUGUGUUCAUUGUUGUUCUAUCAGAUGAUAGGUUAUGUUCUGCUGGUUAGCACUGAACUUUACAGUCCUGUUCUGCAUGUACAUAUGUACUAAUUAUAGUAAUUACAAUAACUGGUAAUCACUAGGUACUCUUACUGAACUGAACCCACUGAUUUAAAUUUACUCAUCCUCAGGCCAUCCAAGAUAUAGGUGAUGUUUGUUCUUCAGUAGAACAGUAAAGACCAUUUUUAGCUGAAACUGUGGCCCUUGGUGAUUCAUAAAAUGCAAGUCAAUUACUUCCGACACUUUGAGAGUCAAAAAAAAGUAUUUUGGGCAACACAAAAUGAAUACCUGCAGCACCUGACAAUAUAUUGUGGUCUUAUGAAGUGAAACGAUCAGUAUGUGCAAGAAACUGAACAUUAUUUACAACAUUAUUGCCUGUUAUUCAGAUCCUCAGGCAAACAGUCCAGUGUAAUGUCCAGUUCACAAACAAAUCAUUCUUUUGAAUUGGUUAUUUUUAGUGAACUAUUUUAACCAGUUCAUCAAAUGGGGCUGAACCGUCUGUUCACAGCUCAAGCAGCACAGAGUGCUACAAGUUACUUAAUCAAAACUUACUUUCAGAUGCCUGACAGUCACUCAGUAACGUCACAAAAUAGCGGCGUAUAUGUGAUCCUUUGAUGAAUGAACUCAUUCUGCGCUUCAGUUCCACCAACAGUCACUGAACUGAGGAAACAGCUCGACUCGAACCGAAGACCAAUGAGCCACUGAUAUGAGCAUGUUUGAACUAAGCACUUAAAC
This 1285-nucleotide long non-coding RNA is filed under the name Sinocyclocheilus grahami. RNAcentral describes it as "lncRNA (ENSSGRG00000044314.1)". Lineage: Eukaryota; Metazoa; Chordata; Actinopteri; Cypriniformes; Cyprinidae. The record is from RNAcentral.